Long non-coding RNA from Myxocyprinus asiaticus (Chinese sucker), 4357 nucleotides. RefSeq lists it as uncharacterized. The transcript is spliced from 2 exons. The record is from RefSeq and is a predicted model, not a curated record. Lineage: Eukaryota; Metazoa; Chordata; Actinopteri; Cypriniformes; Catostomidae.
CAUAAAUUUUUUUUUUUUUUUAGGAUUCUUUAAAUAUUUUAGUUUUUAAUUUUUAAAAUCUAAUCUAAUGCGCAUGCGCAGACUGUGCUGCGUGCGCCAAUUAAAUUAUGGAUCUUGCAACAAGAGAUGCAUUUUUUGAAUUCCCUGGAAAACUGCUUGGUCGCAUUUGAUUUGCAGUGAGGUGCACAGACCACAGACAACGUUAUCUAACUGAUGCUGAAGAGGAAAUUCCUCCAAGAACCAUACGAAGAUGGGCACUAAAAAAAAGGUGUGUAGAUAAUGUUAUUUCCCACUGCUAGCUAGAUUAACACUGUUUGCCUGUAAAUUAUUCCGCGCAGCUGUUCUGAUGGGUGUAUUUUUGUUUCUAGUGCUUAUGGUGCGAACAGUGUUGUCCCUAAUGAUUCAUAGUCGGUUCUUGUGAUUCCACAGAACAUAGCGUACUACAAGUGUACUCCGGCUCCCAAAUUAAUGACUCAAAGUUAUUGGCUCUUUUGAUCAGGGGACAUAGCGCGAGUAUGUCCGAUUCCUCUGCUUAUAGAAAGAAAAUCAUUAUUGUAUAAGUGAUUCCAACGACAGCAUUUAUCUGUGCUGUAAUCAUUAUAGUUGUGGUGUGAACUCUAUUCUUUUAAGUAUAGAAUGAUUCUUAAAACAUUUAUCGUUAUAGUUAUCGUCCUAAUCUUACGAGUGGCUCUUUUUAGUAAGUCAAAGGUUUAUGAAUCAGUUGGAGCUAAAUAACUUAAUUUCAAAACAGAAACUAAGGUGUUACUAUCAAGCAAGUAAAUAUAAAAAAUGAAGUGACAGCUUGGCACUUUUGGCCAGGUUUUGGAAGGUUUAAAGGCAGUAAACUUAGAAUUCUGUAAAAGCAGUAAGUGCUUAAAUUUUUCCUUUAUUUUAUAUUUUCUUUUUCUUUUUCAGAUUUAAGGCAGCAGAAGAACUUGAGAAUGUAAUCAAGGAAUGUCAUAAGGUAUGCUUCUUAAUAAUUGGUGAUUCACUAGUAAUUUGCACAGCUCACAUUUAACUUUUUUUUUUUUUUUUAUUAAUUAAAAGGGAUUGUUCACUCAAAAAUGAAAAUUGUCAUUUACUCACCCUCAAGUUGUUCUAAACCUGUAUUUUUUUUUUUUUCUGUUGAACACAAAAGAUGAUGUUUUGAAUAAUGUAGGUAACCAAACAGUUUGUUCCCUGUUGACUUCCUUAGUAUUUUUGUUUCAUACUAUGGAAGUCAGUGGGUGACGUCAACUGUUUGGUUACCUACAUUCUCAAGAAAUCACUAGGUAUUAAUGUAAAAAUCUUGGACAGCCGAUGUCAGAGUUGAUUUGGGCAAAACUGAAUAGACAUGCCAAAUAGUGCACUACGUCUAUCAUAAAUGCAGCCCACUAGGCUACAGUUCUGACAUCGAAAAGUUUUAUUGUGAUGUUAACGGGACCCAUAAUUCUCCUUUUUUUUUUUUUUUUUUUUUUUUUUUUUAAGCAAAUUCCAGACACCCUCCCAGAAGACAAUACUCAGCCAACUACUCCUGAUGAAGAGUGCACUUCCAGUCCUGUUCAGAUAGAGGUUCCAGUGGAUUCAGGUCAAACUAAAGAGCAAACCCAACUACUACUUCUGGCACUUAAGCUCAAACACAGUUUGACCAAUGAUUGUCUUGAAGAUAUUAUGAAAAUCCUAAAUGUUGUUGGUGGUAAUGAUUCGGUAUGCAAGACAAAAUACUCAUUUUACAAAGCUUUCGAUGAUACCAAAGACAUUAUGAGAAUCUGUUAUGUGUGUGAACAGUGCAAUAAUAUAAUGUCAGCUGGACUGGACCAUGUUCAUUGUGUUCAAUGCAACAUUACCCAUGACAAAGCCAGUAGGUUCACCAAUAAUUUUUUCAUAUACCUCUCCUUGGAAGAUCAAAUAAAAAAUCUUUUGAAAAUGCCAGGAAUUACAGAUGAAUUGGUACCAAGGCAAACAGAAACAUCAACAUCUGUCAGUGAUAUUUGUGAUGGUUUUUUGUACCAGAAAGCUUUAAGUUGUUCGGAUACGCCCCUUCAAACCCUUAACUUAACAUUUAGCUGUGAUGGUGUACCAGUUUUUAAAAAGUCCCCUUGUAGUAUUUGGCCUCUUAUGCACCAUUAAUGAGUUGCCAUUGAAAGUGAGACAGGAUAAUGUACUCCUUUGUGGACUGUGGUUUGGGGAUGAGAAGCCUCAAAUGAGAACAUUCUUAAAGCCUUUUGUAGAUGAAUGUGUAAAACUAGAGGACAGUGGUUUCACAUGGGAAAAGGACAAAGGUGUUUCUAUCAAUACAAAAGUAAUCCCUCUAGUUCUGAUGAGUGACUCAGUUGCCAGACCUCUAAUACAGAAUUUCAAACAGUUUAAUGGUGAAUAUGGCUGCUCCUAUUGCCUUCACAAAGGAAAAUUGGUUGAAAAGGGCAGAGGAUCUGCUCGUGUAUAUCCUUUUCAGAAAGACAUACAGCUCCGCAAUCAGGAACAAACUAAUGAAUUUGUAGAAGCUGUGCUAGAGUCAGGUCAGCCUGUUAUGGGUGUCAAAGGACCAAGUACAUUGUGUCGGCUUCCCAGUUUUGAUGUCAUUGAAGGGUCUGUCCCAGACUACAUGCAUUCAGUACUUCUGGGUGUUGCAAGAACUGUAACGGCUGUGGUUAAACAGUGAAAACCAUGAAAAGCACUGGUAUAUAGGUAGGUCUACAAAAUUGAUAGUUGAGUUACUUUUAAAGAUUAAACCGCCAUGUAAUGUACCUCGUGUGCCAAGAUCAGUCACAUUGAGGAAAUUCUGGGAAGCCCACGAGUGGUACAUGUGGCUCUUUUAUUAUAGCUUACCUGUACUAAAAGGUGUCUUGCCAGAACCACUACUGAAUCACUGGUCCAAACUAGUUAAGAGUGUAUCACUUCAUUUGGGUGAAAAUAUAACCAGAGGCCAGAUUACUGAGUCUGAGGCACUUCUGACAGAUUUUGUGAAAGACAUGGAGGUAUACAAUAGGGAAACCAAUAUGUCUUAUAAUGUCCAUCUUUGUCUCCAUUUACCAAGAAGUGUAGUUAACUGGGGGCCUUUGUGGGCUCACUCUGGUUGCACUACAGAUUGUCAAAACUUUUUGGUUACAAAAGGCUGUACCUUUUUAUGGUCAGACUAUCUUAAAAGAUGCCUCAAAUUAAUGCAAGGAGAUCUUUGAAACUCUGACAAGACCAAAACAGUUGAAACAUGUAACUCGCACACGUGAUAUCACUGCACUCGAUCGCCCUAAAGUGCGAUUACUUGGAAGAGAAGACUAUAUGGCACUGAGUCGUUAUGGGGUACAAAGAGGCAGGGUAAAGUACUUUCAACGAAUCAUUACAAAUGGCGAGGUGGUUCACUCAGAAGAAUACAGCCGUGUAUUUAAACGCAAUUCCUUCACUGUUCUGUUGAAUGAUGACGAUCAAAACUUUUUUAGGAUUAAAAGAUUCUUGAUUUGUCAAAAUGAAAAUGAAGAGAUGUGUUAUGCCAUUGGUAGAUUCUAUGAACGAGCAAAGAAUAGUCUCUGUGCCUCGAAUCCAAGUUACUUUGAACCAGUGUCAAAACAUCUUGGACAUCUUACAGCUAUUCCUGCUUCAGCUAUCAAAUGCAAAUGUCUAAUCAUUCACACUGAAAAACUCAAAGUUGAUUACAUUUUUAGAAAUAUUAAUCAGUGUGAAUUCCUUAAACGAGGCGUGAAAUAAAGCUAAGAGAGGCGUAAAUACGCAUGUUGUUCUUCAAUACAAUUUAAGCUUUUGUGUCAGUGUACAAUGUAUACAUUAUUGUAAUGUUUGUAAUAAGUGUUUUUAUCAUUUAAACUUUGACGAGGAAUUAAUGACAAAAAGCUAUGUGUACAUUACAAAAGCAGUGCGAUAUAUUAUGCAAUGUGGUAUAUUUUUGCAAAGUGAUUGUAAAGCAAUUUAUGUAAAUAAUUUAACUUUUUCAAUGUAUUUUGUUAGGCUUAUAUUUAUAACACUGUGUCUUCAUUAUCAUUUAAAAACCACAAACUUAAUCGAAUAUUUAAUGGCAAAAAGUCAAAUGUACGGUACAUUAGCAGUAUUAUAUAUUGUGCAUUGUUGUUGCUCUGUUUAUUUUAAACAGAAUAUUAUACCAAUGAUUUUAAUACUUUGUGUGUUACCAUUAAAGUGUUAUAUUGUAUCCCUUAAUGUCAAAAAAUUAAAGUGUACAUUGCAAUUUAGUGCAUUGUUGUUGUUCUGGUUCCUUUUCAAAACAUAUCAUACAGUACACUUACUGCCUUGUUAUCAUUAAAUGUCCUACUGUAUCCCUGACAGUUAAUGUCAAAGUCAACUGUACACUACAUUAGUAGUGAGGUAUUCUGUAAUGUGACAAGCAAAUAAAUAAACUUGAUCUGUUAUCUUA